Molecule: long non-coding RNA, 595 nt
Organism: Mastomys coucha (southern multimammate mouse)
Lineage: Eukaryota; Metazoa; Chordata; Mammalia; Rodentia; Muridae
Exons: 2
Source: RefSeq, a predicted model, not a curated record
ACAGGUCUUGAAGUCAUCCGGAUUCUUCUUGCAGAGACAGGUGAUGAGGCUGACAGCAGCUGUGACCACUCCCUGCAAGGAGCUCAGGCAUGAGGGACUUCAUGCUGGGUGUCACUGGGAAAGCCCUGACAUCAGGGGUCUCACUGUGAAGCCUAGGCUGGCCUCAGACUUGUCACAGUUCUCCUACUUCCUACAAGCCUCACUACACUCAGAUCAGCCACAUUGUCAAGAAUACCAGCAGCACCUCGUCUACACUGCCAGAAAUAGAAAUCUCACCUCUGGGCACAGCAGCCGCGGUGAUUUUUCUAAAAGACAACAUUGCUCCUAUUAUUCAACUGCCUGACAGACACCAGUCACCCCAACUUCUACAGGAAGCAGAGGCAGACUUCCCAGAGUCUCUCCCAUGCUUACUAUCCUCCAUCUACAGAGAAUCUCUGGUGGACCACACACCUACACCCAGAGCCUUGGCACCUACUGGGCCUUUUGCAGAAGGCACCCAUAUCCUCAAGUGAUCACUGACUCCUAACUGUUCUAGAACAUUAUCCAUCACCUCCUGGAGAAUCCCUUCUGACUUGUUAAUAAAAGCCUUUUUUCA